CCUACGGGCGGCAGCAGUGGGGAAUAUUGGACAAUGGGCGAAAGCCUGAUCCAGCCAUGCCGCGUGUGUGAAGAAGGCCUUCGGGUUGUAAAGCACUUUCAGUGGGGAAGAAAGCCUUGGGGCUAAUACCCUCGAGGAAGGACAUCACCCACAGAAGAAGCACCGGCUAACUCCGUGCCAGCAGCCGCGGUAAUACGGAGGGUGCGAGCGUUAAUCGGAAUUACUGGGCGUAAAGCGCGCGUAGGCGGUCUGAUAAGCCGGUUGUGAAAGCCCCGGGCUCAACCUGGGAACGGCAUCCGGAACUGUCAGGCUAGAGUGCAGGAGAGGAAGGUAGAAUUCCCGGUGUAGCGGUGAAAUGCGUAGAGAUCGGGAGGAAUACCAGUGGCGAAGGCGGCCUUCUGGACUGACACUGACGCUGAGGUGCGAAAGCGUGGGUAGCAAACAGGAUUAGAUACCCCUGUAUUC
Molecule: ribosomal RNA, 465 nt
Filed under: Vreelandella stevensii
Lineage: Bacteria; Pseudomonadati; Pseudomonadota; Gammaproteobacteria; Oceanospirillales; Halomonadaceae
Description: partial 16S ribosomal RNA
Rfam family: Bacterial small subunit ribosomal RNA
Source: RNAcentral